CUACGGGAGGCAGCAGUCGAGAAUCUUUCACAAUGGGGGCAACCCUGAUGGAGCGACGCCGCGUGGAGGAUAAGGUCUUCGGAUUGUAAACUCCUGUCAUGUGUGAACAAGGUUGUAGAGUUAAUAACUUUGCAAAUUGAUGGUAACACAAGAGGAAGAGACGGCUAACUCUGUGCCAGCAGCCGCGGUAAUACAGAGGUCUCAAGCGUUGUUCGGAAUCACUGGGCGUAAAGGGUGCGUAGGUGGCGUGGUAAGUCAGAUGUGAAAGCCCGGGGCUCAACCUCGGAAUUGCAUCCGAUACUACCAUGCUAGAGUACUGAAGAGGUGACUAGAAUUCUCGGUGUAGCAGUGAAAUGCGUAGAUAUCGAGAGGAAUACCAACGGCGAAGGCAGGUCACUGGGCAGUUACUGACACUGAGGCACGAAGGCUAGGGUAGCGAACGGGAUUAGAUACCCCUGUAGUCC
Molecule: ribosomal RNA, 464 nt
Filed under: uncultured bacterium
Lineage: Bacteria
Description: bacterial SSU rRNA
Rfam family: Bacterial small subunit ribosomal RNA
Source: RNAcentral